AAAGUACUCCCUCCGUCCCAAAAUUCUUGUCUUAGAUUUGUCUAGAUACGGAUGUAUCAAGUCAUACAUCCGUAUCUAGACAAAUCUAAGACAAGAAAUUUGGGACAGAGGGAGUAGUUG
Non-coding RNA from Triticum aestivum (bread wheat), 120 nucleotides. Lineage: Eukaryota; Viridiplantae; Streptophyta; Magnoliopsida; Poales; Poaceae. The record is from Rfam.